Molecule: long non-coding RNA, 1041 nt
Organism: Ictalurus punctatus (channel catfish)
Lineage: Eukaryota; Metazoa; Chordata; Actinopteri; Siluriformes; Ictaluridae
Source: Ensembl
CCAUGUCCAUAUUUCUGACAGUUAAAACAUCACAGUGGGUUGGGCACAAAUAAUUCCACUGUGACAUUCAAAUAUCUGAAUUGAAUUCUUUCUGGGGGAAGGGGCUUAUUAAAAGUGAUUAUGGAUGUACAGCACCAUGGAAUUCCAGCAGAUUAUGCAUCAGGGUUAUUAGAAUGAUAUACUUGAGCAGGUAAAGCAGAUUAUAACCCACUCUAUCCAUUCGAUUGACCCUUAGCCAACGUUUACAGGGAAUUCUUGAAAUUUAGCAAUUGUUAAGCUAUCACAGAACUCUAAGAGCAUGUCUUGGCCAGCCGACUGAGUGGAGUGAGCCAUUCCAACCUCCCAUCUAGGUGAAGUAUGAGCCAAAGUACAGUGUUGAAACAGUGGCAGCUGCAACAAACCAUAUUUCUCUUCCUCCACCAACACAUGUCACAACUUAUGGCAAACAAGUCACCCCUUUUAUCGCUCUUUGAGAAUAGUAUUGGGAUACGGAGGAUCUAUUUUCCUCUGGAUCCUUACAGAGAGAUGAAGGAUGGUAUAAGCACAUCUAAGUGGAAAAAGUGUGUACAAAAGGUAUAAUCAAGAAAAUUGUGAUCCUAGUAGGGGGGGCUCAAGGGUUAUUCUCUCUUGCCCGAGGAGAAGACCCUAGCAUUACAGAGGGAAGGAGCAAGGAGCACAUCACUGUUCCUUUCAUGAGCUGGUACCAAGAAGAUGGGUCUCGUGCUAUAAGACGAUUGUCAUGAGAGAGAGAGAGAGAGAGAGAGCGCGCGAGAGACAGAGAAAGCUCAUUCACCCUUCACCCCCAAGGCCAGCAGCAGGCAGGCUUAGCUACAUGAGGUUUAAUAGGGGAUCCUCUGGACUGCUGCUGAGCAAAGUGCGUCACACCACACCACGUAAGUGAUGCGUCACACCACUGCUGGGCUUUCCCAUCCAUCUUGGCCAGCUUUAAAGGUCAUUUCACCUUCAUGUACCGUUCACAUGGCUAAUAGAUCAUUGUAAGUCUUCUAUCAUGUACUGUAGUGACUUGUACUUGUAUUGACU